Molecule: ribosomal RNA, 1549 nt
Filed under: Cylindrospermopsis raciborskii
Lineage: Bacteria; Bacillati; Cyanobacteriota; Cyanophyceae; Nostocales; Aphanizomenonaceae
Description: bacterial SSU rRNA
Rfam family: Bacterial small subunit ribosomal RNA
Source: RNAcentral
UAAGACACGCCCAUACUCCCUGCGGGAGGCAGCAGUGGGUAAUUUUCCGCAAUGGCAAAAGCCUGGGGAGCAAUCCGCCUGAGGAAAAAAGGCUUAGGGUUAAAAACGUCCAGUAGAGUUUGAUCCUGGCUCAGGAUGAACGCUGGCGGUAUGCUUAACACAUGCAAGUCGAACGGGAUGCUUAGGCAUCUAGUGGCGGACGGGUGAGUAACGCGUUAGAAUCUGGCUCCAGGUCGGGGAUAACAGUUGGAAACGACUGCUAAUACCGGAUGUGCCGAAGGUGAAAGAUUUAUUGCCUGAGAUGAGCUCGCGUCUGAUUAGCUAGUUGGUGGUGUAAGGGACCACCAAGGCGUCGAUCAGUAGCUGGUCUGAGAGGAUGAUCAGCCACACUGGGACUGAGACACGGCCCAGACUCCUACGGGAGGCAGCAGUGGGGAAUUUUCCGCAAUGGGCGAAAGCCUGACGGAGCAAUACCGCGUGAGGGAGGAAGGCUCUUGGGUCGUAAACCUCUUUUCUCAAGGAAGAAGAAAGUGACGGUACUUGAGGAAUAAGCAUCGGCUAACUCCGUGCCAGCAGCCGCGGUAAUACGGAGGAUGCAAGCGUUAUCCGGAAUGAUUGGGCGUAAAGGGUCUGCAGGUGGAACUGAAAGUCUGCUGUUAAAGAGUUUGGCUUAACCAAAUAAAAGCGGUGGAAACUACAGAACUAGAGUGCGGUAGGGGCAAAAGGAAUUCCUGGUGUAGCGGUGAAAUGCGUAGAUAUCAGGAAGAACACCGGUGGCGAAAGCGUUUUGCUAGACCGUAACUGACACUGAGGGACGAAAGCUAGGGGAGCGAAUGGGAUUAGAUACCCCAGUAGUCCUAGCCGUAAACGAUGGAUACUAGGCGUGGCUUGUAUCGACCCGAGCCGUGCCGGAGCUAACGCGUUAAGUAUCCCGCCUGGGGAGUACGCACGCAAGUGUGAAACUCAAAGGAAUUGACGGGGGCCCGCACAAGCGGUGGAGUAUGUGGUUUAAUUCGAUGCAACGCGAAGAACCUUACCAAGACUUGACAUCCUGCGAAUUCCGGUGAAAGCUGGGAGUGCCUUAGGGAGCGCAGAGACAGGUGGUGCAUGGCUGUCGUCAGCUCGUGUCGUGAGAUGUUGGGUUAAGUCCCGCAACGAGCGCAACCCUCGUUUUUAGUUGCCAGCAUUAAGUUGGGCACUCUAGAGAGACUGCCGGUGACAAACCGGAGGAAGGUGAGGAUGACGUCAAGUCAGCAUGCCCCUUACGUCUUGGGCUACACACGUACUACAAUGCUACGGACAGAGGGCAGCAAGCCAGGGAUGGCAAGCGAAUCCAGAAACCGUAGCUCAGUUCAGAUCGAAGGCUGCAACUCGCCUUCGUGAAGGAGGAAUCGCUAGUAAUUGCAGGUCAGCAUACUGCAGUGAAUUCGUUCCCGGGCCUUGUACACACCGCCCGUCACACCAUGGAAGUUGGUCACGCCCGAAGUCAUUACCCCAACCGAAAGGAGGGGGAUGCCUAAGGUAGGACUGGUGACUGGGGUGAAGUCGU